AUGGCCACAUCAUAUUGAAACCCUAGUUCCUGUACAAUCACUGAAGUUAAGCAACAUUGAGCCUGGUCAGUACAUUGGGUGACCACUUGAGAAUACCAGGUGCUGCAAG
Non-coding RNA from Acanthosepion pharaonis, 109 nucleotides. The record is from the annotation of a GenBank genome assembly. Lineage: Eukaryota; Metazoa; Mollusca; Cephalopoda; Sepiida; Sepiidae.